GACGAACGCUGGCGGCGUGCUUAACACAUGCAAGUCGAACGGAAAGGCCCUGCUUUUUUGGGGUGCUCUAGUGGCGAACGGGUGAGUAACACGUGAGUAACCUGCCCCUGCCUUUGGGGUAACUUCAGGAAACUGGGGCUAAUACCAGCUAGGAGCUCCUGCUGCAUGGUGGGGGUUGGAAAGUUUCGGCGGUUGGUGGUGGAAUCGCGGCUUAUCAGCUCGUUGGGGGGGUAGUGGCUUACCAAGGCGUUGACGGGUAGCCUGCCUGGGAGGGUGAGCGGACACGAUAGAACUGGAAUGAGACCCAGACCAGAAUGGGACGCAGGGGUGGAGAAGAGUAUACAGUGGGCGGGAGCCUGAUGUGACAACGCAGUGUCCGGUAAGUCGUCCUUCGGGUUGUAAAGCGAUUUUGCCUGAGACGAAGCGUGAGUGACGGUAAUGGGUGAAGAAGCACCGGCUAACUACGUG
This 468-nucleotide ribosomal RNA is filed under the name uncultured bacterium. RNAcentral's name for it is "partial 16S ribosomal RNA". It matches the Rfam family "Bacterial small subunit ribosomal RNA", at positions 28 to 507 of the family's 1533-position model. The record is from RNAcentral.